Molecule: long non-coding RNA, 718 nt
Organism: Myotis lucifugus (little brown bat)
Lineage: Eukaryota; Metazoa; Chordata; Mammalia; Chiroptera; Vespertilionidae
Exons: 3
Source: RefSeq, a predicted model, not a curated record
GCGGACAGCUGGGCCCACUCACUGUCCAGAGAGCCAGCUGCUCCCCGGGAACAACUUCACCAACGAGUGCAACAUUCCGGGCAACUUCAUGUGCAGCAACGGGCGGUGCAUCCCAGGCGCCUGGCAGUGCGACGGGCUGCCCGACUGCUUCGACAAGAGCGACGAGAAGGAGUGUCAAACCUCGAUGAUGGUUUCCCAUGGAAAUGAUUUCUAAGAUGGCUAUUGGUCCUGCGAGUCCCUGAAAGAAGAGACUGCGCUUCAUUGCUACCACUUGCUGUCAUAAUCAAGCAGCGAUCCCCACCUCCAGGGCCCACGUGUGACCUGGAAUCCAGGCCCUAACGUCCACUUCCAGCUUCCAGUUUCCAGCUUCCUGUCGGAUCCUCGCUGCCACCUCUGUGCCCUGACCAAAUGGGGGCGAGGAGGUGUGAGAUCCGCGGCUCAUUCUUCUCUUGGAGAAAUAAUAUUGGUCUGUAUCUUUGAGCAGGCACGUGCAGACUUUUAAAGACACAGGCCCUUUAUGUUUGUGUGGGGUGGGGGUGGGGGAUGGAGGGAGGUAAGAGGAAAUGGGGAUAAAUGCAAGGAUUUUGUCCAGUAAUAAAGUGUAAUACAUUUCCAAGUUCAGAGACAUUGAAAAUAGGUCAAAAAUGGAAUUUAAAUUGUAUUUGCUUUUACUCUUCCCAACCGUUUCUUGAGCAUGGCUUUUAAGGGCUCUGGUGUG